GAAACUUAAAUAAUUUAUAAAAUCUGUAAAAUAUUCAUUUUAAGGAAAAUAAUUUUUUUUUAUAAAAACAUGAGUGUCUCUUAAUGAGACUAACCCAAUCACUUAACUAUAGUUGAAUCGGAAAGUGUUAGAAUCCUUAUUGGCUCGGGUUUAUGCUCUCUUAUAAAUCUAACAUUGUUUAGAUAAUUAUCUCAUUUACAAAUAGAAAACAUGUGGGUUAAUGAUAGACACUUCUAAAAAAAUUAGAAUACAAAAGUGGAUCGAGUUU
Molecule: long non-coding RNA, 268 nt
Filed under: Carica papaya (papaya)
Lineage: Eukaryota; Viridiplantae; Streptophyta; Magnoliopsida; Brassicales; Caricaceae
Description: long non-coding RNA (CPAP_LNC000721)
Source: RNAcentral